RNAcentral lists this ribosomal RNA (325 nucleotides) under uncultured bacterium. RNAcentral's name for it is "bacterial SSU rRNA". It matches the Rfam family "Bacterial small subunit ribosomal RNA", at positions 151 to 507 of the family's 1533-position model. The record is from RNAcentral.
GGGAAACUACGGCUAAUACCGCAUGAUGCCUGAGGGCCAAAGCGAAAGUCGUUUGAGGAGGAGCCUGCGUCUGAUUAGGUAGUUGGUGGGGUAAAGGCCUACCAAGCCCUACGAUCAGUAGCUGGUCUGAGAGGAUGAUCAGCCACAUUGGGACUGAGACACGGCCCAAACUCCUACGGGAGGCAGCAGUGGGGAAUAUUGGACAAUGGGCGCAAGCCUGAUCCAGCAAUGCCGCGUGGGUGAAGAAGGUUCUUCGGAUUGUAAAGCCCUUUUGGCGGGGACGAUGAUGACGGUACCCGCAGAAUAAGCUCCGGCUAACUUCGUG